This 5915-nucleotide long non-coding RNA is filed under the name Gallus gallus (chicken). Its description in RNAcentral is "lncRNA (ENSGALG00010015868.1)". Lineage: Eukaryota; Metazoa; Chordata; Aves; Galliformes; Phasianidae. The record is from RNAcentral.
GAAGAAAAGAAAGGGAAAAACAAAAAAGACACACCACCUGAUUUCAGGCACUGAAUUUAGGAAGCUUAUCUUGUUAGGCUUCUGUAGUAGAGGAGGCAAGGGCCAGAGGUGUGCUUCUAAGCCAUUGGCUGCUCUAAAUCACCCUCUGGGAAAACCUACUUUCUUUUGUUGUAAGGAAAGCUCAGGGGAAUGAACCAUCCAGGUCGGGUGGGUAAGUGUGCUAACAUGAAUACACCUCAGGUGGUUUUAUUUGGAGAAGAGAAACAGGAGGAUUAUAACCAUCUGAUUAGGGAAAAGAAAGCCUCCACUUUUUGUUUGCUGAUUGUGUGCAAGUGUGCAGUCAGUUUUGCUGACGUUCAUACAUGAGAGAUUCUGAAACAUGGGAGUAAUUUGAUGCAUACGCUUUGCUUGCUACAGUAAAUUACAGCCUUUCCUUGCCCAGGAGCUGAGCUAUAGUUUUUCUUCUGUUUCACAGUGUGAUACGUUGCCUUAAUUGCACCAUCUAUUGUGACAUUUUUGAUGCUUUUCAUUUUUGUCUUUCAUUGUGGGUGCUCCAACACGAGUAAAUGACACUACAGCAUUCAGAAAGCUUGUCAGGCUGUGUUCAGGUCAGCACUUCGUCAGUGACUGCUGUGAAAAAUAGUCAAUGAACAUCAAAGUUAUAGGACCUUGAAAAGGCAGUCAGGAGGAGCAGCCUGGAAAUCUGCAGAACAGAAGCACCUAAAGAGUGAGGCACAACAUGUGUUUUACUGGGCCUCCACCUCUUGCUUGGAUCCUUCUAGGUGGCUGUCAGGCAGACACCGAGCCAAGCUGAUGGCUUUCUGCUUGCAGAGGGAACAGCUCACAGGUAGCCUUACAGAUUCAGCAGGCUGCCCACCUCCUCCUUCAGAUGGGAAAGUCCUCACAGUUGUUUUCCCGCCAACCACGUCUGAACAUUGGAAUCUGCCCCAAGUUUCUGCGUGAGUUGAUGAGAAGAUGUGCUUUGGGCUGAUGCUAAUAAUUUUGAUUUCUGGGACUGGAAAUAAAGACAAAAAGGCACCUUAAUUCUAUCCACUAAAUCUUCUCAGAGGAAUUCUCUUGGCCUCUUCUGUUACAAGCAUCAUCCUUUGGUUUUCUCUUCAAAACUAUUUUAUAUACUGGGAGUCGUCAUCCCGGGAGGCAUGAACAAGAAUCUGGUGACAGGAGCAUCAUGAAGUUCAAGACUUCAAAUGUGAAGUCCUGCACCCUGUAAAUAGUGACACCAUGCAACAGUACAAACUGGGGACAGGCUGACUAGAAACUAGCUUUACAUAAGAGGACCUAGAGGUCCUGAUGGACAUCGAGCUGAAUGUGAGUCAAGAAUGUGCCACUGCGUGAAUGAGAGCCAAGCACAAAAGACACUGGGCUGCAUUAGUAACAGCAGAGGCAGUGGGUUGAGAUAGCCAGCAGAGGUGAAUAUUGCACCCCUCUGAGGAGAAGAAAAUCCCCCAGGCAAGCAGAGAGCAAGAUUGACAUUUCUCAUUAUUUCUGUACUCCAGGUAAUAUAUAUAAACUUUUUUUUUUUCCCUGGGAGCCCUUCAAACCAAGCAAAUGAAGACAUUUCUUCUGUACAGUCAACGACACUCCAAAAGGUCUGAUCUGCUCUCUGAAAUUUCCCCUGAUUUUGCUGUGGCCCUCAGGCUGUAACUCACUGAUCUCAGGCACACAACGUGGCUAUCCCAAAAUCUCAAGUUUUGCUUUGACCAAGUAUUUACCAUAACGAAUAGAAACUAUUCCUUGAACAACAACGUCUUUUACCACUUGCAAAUCUCCAUCUAAUCUGACUGUCCUUAUCUAUAAGCGGAGAGAAUGAAAAGCAGAGAUAUAAAACCCAAAGGUUAAGUACAUAUUUUUUGCAACUGUUUAAUGUUCAGCAUUCUCAUGCUGUGAAGAACAUGCAAAGUUUCUGCAUUCUUUCUAUUGGGUGCAUUCGUUACCAAAGCAGACUUGCUAUCGGUUUGGGAUGUAAACUGACCUGGUGUCACUGCAAUUUGCCUGUUUUCAUGUGUGUGCUUGGUUUGCUUUUGGCAUACAGGCACUUACGGCUGAUCCAAAGUCAUUCAAAAGCUCAGCAGAUGCUUCUGUGAAUCUCUUCUAUGUUUAGAAAUGGAAAUGAAGCACGAAACCAGGUGCUUUCUGUGCUGUCCUGAAUUAUGGAUUUUAUCCUUCAUGUUAUAACACAGUUUACUUGUCUUCUGGUUUAUCGUUUUUGAAGAAGGUAUGAGGUAAAAUACCAAGAUCUCCCUGACAAAGUCUUGUAGGACUCCAGGAACUGCUGUCUUCUGUACGGGUCCUCUCCAAUUCAACAGCACCCUUUCAGCUGACAUCAAAAGGGGUGAGUGAGGGCUGUGUGGAGUACAAGGAGCCAACACUGCUCAUAAGACAGAAAUUCGCCACUGAUUUUGUGAAAUUCUCUGUACUGGAUUAUGCAGGAGAUCAGAAAAGAAGAUUUUCGGAGUCUCUUCCUCUAACUCUUGCAACUUACUCUUGGGAACUGGUAUUAUCAGGCGAGUAUGGACUGGAUGAUCUCCAGAGGUCCCUUCCAACCACUGCGAUUCUGUGAUUCUGAUUCUAAUCUCACAGAGAAUAUGGGACUAAUAUUUCUAAGUUUAAGAAUCAGAGGGUUUUUUUCAAACCAUUUUAGGAGGAGGCAAGAAACACUUUGGUUUAGCUUUCUGGUCUGAAAAUAUCAAUAGUUUGUUGCAUUUUUGAAAAGAGCCACAGGAAUCAUAGAUCAAAGAACCAUAGAAUGGCUUGAGUUGGAAGAGACCACAAAGCCCACGCAGCCCCAACCCUCUGCCAUGGGCAGGGCUGCCCCCCACCAGCUCAAGCUGCCCAGGACCCCAUCCAACCUGGCCCUGAGUGCCUCCAGGGAUGGGGCACCCACAGCUUCUCUGGGCAGCUGUGCCAGGGCCUCACCGCCCUCUGAGUAAAGAUUUUCUGCCUAACAUCUAACCCAAAUCUCCCCACUUUUAGUUUAAAGCCAUUUUCCCUUGUCCUAUCGCUAUUAGACUGUGUGAGAUGUUGGUUCUCCUCCUGUUUAUAAACUCCUCUCAAGUACUGGAAGGCCACAGAGAGGUGUCCCCGGAGCCUUCUCUUCUCCAGGCUGAACAAGCCCAGCUCCCUCAGCCUUUCUUCACAGGAGAGGUGCUCCAGCCCUCUGAGCAUCUUCGUGGCCCUCAUCUAGACAUUCUCCAACAGCUCCACAUCUUUCUUGUGCUGGAGGCCCCAGGUCUGAAUGCAGUACUGGGCCUCAUGAAGGCAGAGCAGAGGGGAAUAAUCACCUUCCUCUCCCUGCUGGCCACCCCUCUGUUGAUGCUGACCAGGAUACUGUUGGCCUUCUGGGCUGCAAGAGCACACUGGUGGCUCAUGUCAAGCCUAUUAUCUAUCAGAGACCGUGGGUCCUCCUCCGCGGGGCUGCCCUCAAUGAGUUCUUCUCCCAGACUGUACACGUAUCAGGAAUUACCCUGACCUGAGUGCAACACCUUGGUCAAGCCAUUGCUCUCAUGGCUACGGGUUUGUUGUUUGGACACAAUAAUGUACAGAUGGGCUUUGCAUUUAUCAAGAAUAAUCACCAGCUGAGAUGCUGAGUGGAGGAAAACUAUUAUCGUCGUGACUGACCAGAGUCUGGCAGCAUUCUUUGUUGUUUGUGGCUUAUUCUUGAAAUUAGAUUUCAGAGACUAAACUGACCUCUCUGUAAGCUGAGCUCAGAAGAUGAAGGCCAAUAAUGGGAGAAGGAGCACAUCUCAAGGCAAAAGGUUUAACCGUCUGCCUCUUGGUAACCUGCAGGAAAUCCACCAAACAUCAUUUCAUUUGCAGUGAUUAAAGCCUGGAUGUUGGCAGAUGUGCACACACAUUCUUGCCCCACAGACCAAACAGAGCAACUUCAGAAGUGCAGCAGGAGUUCCUUUAAAACAGACUGGGAAGGAAAGGUGGGAAUGAACGAAACCUCUACCCCGUGCCUUAACACUUUUGAGUACGAUGUUGGUUUGCAAUGCUUACGUAUCACUUUGGACAUUACACAUUGGCACUGAGUACCUAAAACAAGAGACUUGAGCUUUCCAUUUGCUUUGCACAUCUGUUUUGUCGGGUCCUGUGCUCGUAGCAUCAUUUUUUCCCAGCUGCAGUAUCACAACUGGACACUAGAGAGCUCCUUUUACCAAAGACAUCUCUCCAACGUGAGGGCAGAGCCCUGUGAGGUUUUGCAGAGAAACACUCAUUAUUCUUGCAACAGAAUCUAGGGAAGCUCUGUCUCAGCAUACAUGACCUCUGCUGUACAAAGAAAAAGGUUGCGUUGUGCCUGAGGAACAAAGCUCUGGAAUUAAGUCUAUAACAGCUAAGAUAUGCUGGGCCACGGAGCAUCUUUGCAAGUCUCUAAACAGCCCACAGGAAAAUCUCAGAAGGACCCUGUGAGUGGCAGUUAUGUAAGAUGAAACUUGAGCCAAGCCGUUGGGUCCCAUAUUCCAGGGACGGGAGAAAAUGGCAGGUGUGAUGAGCUGGGGCUGUCUGCGUUCAUGGAGUUUCUGUGCUGUCUGGAGUUUCCUCACUUGGAAGGUUUCAUAUGUUGAUGUUUUGCAUUGCUCUGGACACAACGAAAAGUAGGAAAGCACAAACAAGUGAACCCAGAGCAUCAUAAAGCAGCCUAGAACUAAAUUUUUGGUCUAGUGGAGGCGACAGAAGACACCACUGAGAGGUUUCACUGAGCUUUAGUGACAGUGAGCACCCUGGAAAUGCUUGCAAAUUGGCUGGGUUUGAUGCCUGCUUCUUCCAGGCUGCAAAAGCUGUCCAGAAAUCUUCCAGAGUCCCACUGCAGGGACCCUAGGAGUGCUUCAGCAGAAUUGCAGAUGACUUCUGGCUUUGGCCCGUAGCCAUGGGAAAUGAGAAGAUCCAGAAUUAGGCAAAACUCAGUAUUUUCUUUCUAAUUGUUUAAAAAUACAGGUUAUAUGUUCCUAUUAGCUGAGAAGGAAGCUAGAGCGGCAUCAGGCUAGAGAAUGGAGUGCAGGUGUGCAUAAAGAAACAUAGAGAACUCACCUCCUUGGAGAGAAGAUGUGAUCCCAGAGCCUGGGAGGAAGGAGCCCUGUGGCACCCACUAACAGGAGGAGCUGCAAUCCUGAGCUUGUGUUUGCCUGCGGGGAGAACAGGAAGAACACUUGUAUGUCUCUAUAGAGCAUUUCAGGCAAGCCAGAAGUUUGUACUCAGGUAGAUGAAUAGUCAAGUAACAUUAGUAUAUGUAGCUCUUAUCAAUAACCUUGCCAAACUCAUUUUGUAACACAGCCGUAACCAUGCAACAAACUGCUAUGUGAGCUGAAACAGGACAGAGGGGAUUUUACUUGAAACAAAACAGGGUUUACACAUUCACAUACCUUCAUGCUUCCAAACACCAAAAUGGAUGGGUCCAGGUGCUCUGGCCCAGGUGACUUGUGGUGGUGAAGAUGGAAAGGGACAUCUGUAGGCAUCUCAACAUGUCGCCUAGGUUCUCCAUGGACUGGAAGCCAAGUGCUGCUCUUGGAUCUCCUAAGAGUUGACAGUGUGAUCUUUUGUUUCCUCAUCCUGUUCCACCCCUGGCUUAGUAUUUUCUUUUCUGUCCUUAUCUGGGUGUUUUAUGGCCCCUUGCCUGCUUUUUUCUUCCUUUCAUCACUUCUUGAGGGCUCUGGUUUAUUAGCCUGUCCUUCAUUUUGCUCGCUGUGUAGACUGUCUUCGGUUUUAGGAGGUUCUGGUUAGUCUCACACAGACCCGUUGUCACCUUGAUGACCUGCUGGCUGAGGUGCCAUCUGCACCUACCAUUCCGCUCUUCUCUCUGGCAUUCCCACACUUAGGUAAUCACUUUCAUUCAGAAAGUUCUUUAUAUUUUUAUUAAAAAUUCCUCACGCUUUGCAACAUAUGUUAUCUGUCUACAG